Molecule: long non-coding RNA, 216 nt
Filed under: Sorghum bicolor (sorghum)
Lineage: Eukaryota; Viridiplantae; Streptophyta; Magnoliopsida; Poales; Poaceae
Description: long non-coding RNA (SBIC_LNC017389)
Source: RNAcentral
UUGUCAGCUGCUUUUGUCUGUAAGUAUUUCUUUCUUUUUAUUAAACUUCUACCUUCAUUAAUUAUAUGUAUAUAAUCCUUACACACUUAGGAUUUGUAUGUAUAUAUGCAGGCACCAAAUGAGAGAGCUCAGGAUCAGAAAUGACAAUAGUAUUGGGUUGGUUGACCCUUAUAUUGUUUUCAAGGCUCCACAGGCAGUGUGGACAGCAUCUCAUGA